RNAcentral lists this ribosomal RNA (684 nucleotides) under uncultured fungus. Its description in RNAcentral is "eukaryotic LSU rRNA". The stretch from base 146 to 299 matches the Rfam family "5.8S ribosomal RNA". Lineage: Eukaryota; Fungi. The record is from RNAcentral.
UACAAAUAUCCAUCUCACCCCUUUGUGCAUCACCGCGUGCGUUUCCCCCCCUCCGCGAGGAAGGGGGGUCCUCACGUUUUUAACAUCGAACACCCAUUCGAACGUAGUGUAGAAUGUUCUUUGCGCGAUCGUGCGCGAUCAAUACAACUUUCAACAACGGAUCUCUUGGCUCUCGCAUCGAUGAAGAACGCAGCGAAAUGCGAUACGUAAUGUGAAUUGCAGAAUUCAGUGAAUCAUCGAAUCUUUGAACGCACCUUGCGCCCCUUGGCAUUCCGAGGGGCACACCCGUUUGAGUGUCGUGAACAUCCUCAACCUGCUCCGUUUUCUCGAACCGAGUAGGCUUGGAAUUUGGAGGUUUUCUGCUGGCCUCCUCCGAAGCCAGCUCCUCUUAAAUCUAUUAGUGGGAUCCGCUUUGCCAGAUCCUCGACGUCGAUAAGAUGUUUCUACGUCUAGGGUUCCGCUCGCGAAGGACCUGCUUCUAACCGUCCCAUCGGGGACAACGUUCGAGCCGCGAUCUCGCCCCCCUUUACACGGGGUGGGAAAGCUACUCGACCCAUAAAAACCUUGACCUCAAAUCGGGUGAGACUACCCGCUGAACUUAAGCAUAUCAAUAAGCGGAGGAAAAGAAACUAACAAGGAUUCCCCUAGUAACUGCGAGUGAAGCGGGAAAAGCUCAAAUUUAAA